Molecule: ribosomal RNA, 429 nt
Filed under: Pseudosermyle phalangiphora
Lineage: Eukaryota; Metazoa; Arthropoda; Insecta; Phasmatodea; Diapheromeridae
Description: partial 16S ribosomal RNA
Rfam family: Bacterial large subunit ribosomal RNA
Source: RNAcentral
AGCAUAAUCAUUAGUUUAUUAAUUGUGAACUAGUAUGAAAGGGUUGACGAAAUAUUAACUGUCUCAUUAUUAAUAAUUGAAUUUAAAUUUUGAGUUAAAAUGCUUAAAUUUAUUUGAUGGACGAUAAGACCCUAUAGAUCUUAAAUAAUGAUUAUUAAUUAUUUUUUGAUUAUUAUUAAUUUUUAUAAUAAAUUAUUUUCGUUGGGGUGACUUAAGGAUAUAAUUAACUCUUAUUUUUUAUAUACAUUUAUUUAUGAAUAACUGACCCAAUAUUAAUGAUCAAAAGAUUUAGAUACCUUAGGGAUAACAGCGUAAUUUUCUUUGAGAGUUCAUAUCGACAAGAAAGAUUGCGACCUCGAUGUUGGAUUAAGAUUAUACUUGGGUGCAGACGCUCAAAUAUUAGGUCUGUUCGACCUUUAAAAUCUUACA